Non-coding RNA from Linepithema humile (Argentine ant), 1094 nucleotides. Lineage: Eukaryota; Metazoa; Arthropoda; Insecta; Hymenoptera; Formicidae. The record is from RefSeq and is a predicted model, not a curated record.
UUUAAAUAUGCCUAAAAAAAGCUGGUUAUAUAUCCUUAUUGAAACGUAUUAAAAUAAAUCACGGGACAAAACUGAUUUGCCUCAUUAUCCAUCGUGCAACCGGUGAAUUCGGAGUAUGUAAUAAAGGAUCUAGUGAGAGUAGCAGCAUUAUAAGCAAAUAAUUAACGUAACAAAGCAAGCAAUCGAUUAUGGCAUGAUGACAGCGUCAAUGAAUGUUACGAUCAUCCCGUUUUUGCUAGGAGCUCUUAUGUCUGUCGAAGACGUGCAGGAAUGGAAUUUCGGUCCAGAAUACAUGUUCGAAUUGAAAAAAUCCAUUAGAGUGUACAUGGAGCAAGAAAUGUAUAUAGGUGCAAAAGCAACUGCUAUGCUAAAAUGUCGUCCAAAAGUAUCGUCUCAAAGUAUCCCAAAUCUUUUGAUUUGUUGUGCAAGUAAUAUCACUGUCUUAAAUAUCACGCGGCAGAAAUAUGAAAAGUGGAAAGAAAUAAUACACGACAAAAUCUCUAUCAUUCCGCAUAAGGAAUGAAAUAAAAUACUGAACCAAUUAUUUCGAUUAGAGUUUGGUAGACGAGGUAUACGGAAUUUUGAAGUAAAAGUAAGUGAACAGAAGCAACAUUAUUAUAACAUGAUCACAGAUAUCAUUGAUCAAUUCAACAUUGGCACUGAUUUGAGUAUCGUAAGAGUCAGCAUGAAAAAUUAUGAAAACAAGGUACGCAGACCGUAUGUAAUCUCCACUUUCACGCAAUAUGAGGAAGACACGGCAAGAGUUACUAAAUGUAAUACGUCAUGGUCAAUUACGUAUACACCAUCAGAUCAACAUAAGAAAAACAGAAAAUUUAGCAGAAAAAUGGUCCAGAAAAAGAAUAAAACAGAAUUCGGUUUUCGACUCAAAUUGCUGCCGAUAUCUUACACGCAUCCCGCCAGUAGGACAUUUGUGAUAGAAAGAAUUAGAAAGGGAUGCACUCAUCACUCGCAAUUCCUUAUGCUUUUUAACGAGAAGUGGGAAAUUCACAACAUGAUAAUUACGUAUACUUUUAUGCUUUUCUAUCACAUUUUUAUAGAAACAGAGAAAAUUAAUUAUCAAACAUUACUUUAAA